GGGAGGUGGGACAUCAGGUGUCACAGCUCCACAGCCCCAGAUGAGGCUGCAUCACCACGACAACCGGGGGUGCCGUCAGCUCUCUGUGCCCCACCAACCAAGCACCUGACCAUCCGCCCAGCCAGCUAUCCCACAAUCUACCAAUCCAUCCCUCCAUCCACCCCGGCGAAGCGAGGCCAGCGCCGGUCGAAACUGGCAACCUGCAGGAGUCAUCAGGCUGCCACAGAUGAAGCGAAGAUAGCAGCGAGAUGAAGAGGCAGAGCUGACUCUAUACCCCCAGGAGGGGUGGGGGGCGGGUGCAGCGAGGUGGAACCACUUGCCUGCCUCCCAGUGGAGAGACACUUCCACCAUCAGAGCGCCAUCUGCA
Molecule: long non-coding RNA, 367 nt
Organism: Xiphophorus maculatus (southern platyfish)
Lineage: Eukaryota; Metazoa; Chordata; Actinopteri; Cyprinodontiformes; Poeciliidae
Exons: 3
Source: RefSeq, a predicted model, not a curated record